This 271-nucleotide ribosomal RNA is filed under the name uncultured archaeon. RNAcentral's name for it is "partial 16S ribosomal RNA". It matches the Rfam family "Archaeal small subunit ribosomal RNA", at positions 477 to 747 of the family's 1478-position model. The record is from RNAcentral.
CAGCGCCUCAAGUGGCAGCCGCGUUUAUUGGGCCUAAAGCGUCCGUAGCAGGUUUUGUAAAUCUCUUGUGAAAUUGUCAAGCUCAACUUGGCAACGUGCAAGAGACACUGCAAGACUUGGGACCGGGAGGAGUCAGAGGUAUUCCAUGGGGAGCGGUAAAAUGCUAUAAUCCAUGGAGGACCACCUAUGGCGAAGGCAUCUGACCAGAACGGAUCCGACUGUGAGGGACGAAAGCCAGGGGAGCGAUCCGGAUUAGAUACCCGAGUAGUCC